AUAUGUGAAGCAAAAAAUUUACCUGUAGAAUAGCCCCAGGAUGUGAUGUGACGAGUCCUCGACAACACAGACCCCACACAAAGUAAUACUACCCAGAAGAAGACCUUGUAUAAGACGGAUAGAACUAACAAACUUGAAAAUAAUUAUUGACGAUACGCAUUCGGUAAAGCACACUAUGUUCAACACAAUAGACCUAGACUUUAAGAACUCUGUGACUUGGUGGGCCACAUCGUUAAAAUGGAAGAAGGAGCACAGUCUUCAAAUCGCCAGCCACCCCUCAAAUUUGUAUUUUACUUUAGGACCAAGUACGAAACUUCCACUGUUCAACACGCACUCUAGGAAUUUCUAUGCUUCAGAUGCAAAUACGUAAUUUCACUUUUUAACGGACACGCCACCAACUUUAAAGAUUCAAUUAAGUAAUCUUUUUAAAUAAUUAGUUAUGAGGAAAUUCUUAGCUUACCCUUAACAUGAAAGCUUCCACAGAAAUAGGACGUCUAUUACUAUCCUGAGGAUGAGCUAUUCCAGGUAUCCACACACAACUGGGGACUGCGCGAUUUGGGACUUGCAAAUAAAUAUUGAACUAUGCAUCGAAUUAUAUUAUCAUACCUGCGAAAUGCUGAAGUACACCUCUUAUUGAAAUAAUCUAUUUAACCAAACGAAGUAUAUGAAGAAGUUAAUGUUAUACCUUAUAUCAUAUUACAUAAAUGAACAAUUUUGUAAUCACAAUUUAAA
Molecule: long non-coding RNA, 732 nt
Organism: Drosophila biarmipes
Lineage: Eukaryota; Metazoa; Arthropoda; Insecta; Diptera; Drosophilidae
Exons: 3
Source: RefSeq, a predicted model, not a curated record